CAGUCGCCGCGGGAAUACGAGGGGGGCAAGCGUUGUUCGGAAUUAUUGGGCGUAAAGGGUGCGUAGGCGGUUUGAUAAGUCUUGUGUGAAAUCUAUGGGCUCAACCCAUAGUCUGCACAGGAAACUGUCGGGCUUGAGAGUGGGAGAGGUGAGUGGAAUUUCCGGUGUAGCGGUGAAAUGCGUAGAUAUCGAAAGGAACACCUGUGGCGAAAGCGGCUCACUGGACCAUUUCUGACGCUGAUGCACGAAAGCUAGGGGAGCAAACAGGAUUAGAUACCCCCGUAGUCCCUGUCUCUUAUAA
Molecule: ribosomal RNA, 301 nt
Filed under: uncultured bacterium
Lineage: Bacteria
Description: partial 16S ribosomal RNA
Rfam family: Bacterial small subunit ribosomal RNA
Source: RNAcentral